Molecule: ribosomal RNA, 293 nt
Filed under: uncultured eukaryote
Lineage: Eukaryota
Description: partial 18S ribosomal RNA
Rfam family: Eukaryotic small subunit ribosomal RNA
Source: RNAcentral
GGUUGAUCCUGCCAGUAGUCAUAUGCUCGUCUCAAAGAUUAAGCCAUGCAUGUCUAAGUAUAAACUGCUUAUACUGUGAAACUGCGAAUGGCUCAUUAAAUCAGUUAUAGUUUAUUUGAUGGUACAAUUUACUCGGAUACCCGUAGUAACUCCAUGGCUAAUACGUGCGUAAACCCCGACUCCUGGAAGGGGCGUAUUUAUUAGAUAAAAGACCGACCGGGCUUGCCCGAUCCGCGGUGAAUCAUGAUAACUUCACGAAUCGCACGGCCUCGAGCCGGCGAUGUUUCAUUCAA